GCCUUGUUGGCUAAGUGGUAUAGCGUCUCACUAGUAUUACUCUGGUGUCAUGAGAAGAUCGGCGGUUCGAUUCCGCCACGAGGCA
This is a non-coding RNA of Colletotrichum zoysiae, 85 nucleotides long. The record is from the annotation of a GenBank genome assembly. Lineage: Eukaryota; Fungi; Ascomycota; Sordariomycetes; Glomerellales; Glomerellaceae.